RNAcentral lists this ribosomal RNA (491 nucleotides) under uncultured bacterium. Its description in RNAcentral is "partial 16S ribosomal RNA". It matches the Rfam family "Bacterial small subunit ribosomal RNA", at positions 29 to 506 of the family's 1533-position model. The record is from RNAcentral.
AGUGAACGCUGGCGGUAGGCCUAACACAUGCGAGUCGAACGGCAGCACAGUAAGAGCUUGCUCUUACGGGUGGCGAGUGGCGGACGGGUGAGGAAUACAUCGGAAUCUACUUUUUCGUGGGGGAUAACGUAGGGAAACUUACGCUAAUACCGCAUACGACCUACGGGUGAAAGCAGGGGAUCUUCGGACCUUGCGCGAUUGAAUGAGCCGAUGUCGGAUUAGCUAGUUGGCGGGGUAAAGGCCCACCAAGGCGACGAUCCGUAGCUGGUCUGAGAGGAUGAUCAGCCACACGGGAAAUGAGACACGGUCCAGACCCCUACGGGGGGCAGCAGGGGGGAAAAUUGGACAAGGGGGGAAAGCCUGAUCCAGCCAUUCCGCGGGGGUAAAGAAGGCCUUCGGGUUGUAAAGCCCUUUUGUUGGGAAAGAAAAGCAGCAGGUUAACACCCCGCUUUUCUGACGGGACCAAAAGAAUAAGCACAGGCUAACUUCGU